GACAGAGGGUGCAAGCGUUGCUCGGAAUCACUGGGCGUAAAGGGUGCGUAGGCGGCUCUUUAAGUCAGGGGUGAAAUCCUGGAGCUCAACUCCAGAACUGCCUUUGAUACUGAAGAUCUUGAGUUCGGGGGAGGUGAGUGGAACUGCGAGUGUAGAGGUGAAAUUCGUAGAUAUUCGCAAGAACACCAGUGGCGAAGGCGGCUCACUGGCCCGAUACUGACGCUGAUGCACGAAAGCGUGGGGAGCAAACAGG
This 253-nucleotide ribosomal RNA is filed under the name uncultured bacterium. RNAcentral describes it as "partial 16S ribosomal RNA". It matches the Rfam family "Bacterial small subunit ribosomal RNA", at positions 524 to 776 of the family's 1533-position model. The record is from RNAcentral.